CGACCCUGAAAAAGAAGAGGCCUUCCAUUAUAAUAUUCACGGCCCCGAAGAUACUGUCACCCCCUAAAGAAACAAAAGAUAAGUGGAAAAAUCUGUUGCUGUUACGCGGCUUGGGAUGAGUUUAACUGUGAUUCGUGAUUCUGAUUGCAACCAACGUACACCUUCCCUCGAGAGAGUUUGCGUGGGAGGUAGAAAAAACGUUCCUUUAGUCUGGGGAGCUCGGGUGGAUCAUGAGCGGUGCGGGGGCGGGGGUUCAGCCAGCAAGCCUUACCUCCUGCUGUCGCGGCGGCAAGAGUUUCUCCAUGACCAGGGGAUGAAGGAGAGAAGCAGCACGCCACACCCAGGAUGACUUAGACGGUGAAGGUGCUCUUGAAGUUCUGGGAUAUGAUGGGAAGAGACGCCGCACCCCACACCCAGGAUGACUUAGACGGUGAAGGUGUUCUUGAAGUUCUGGGAUAUGAUGGGAAGAGACGCCGCACCCCACACCCAGGAUGACUUAGACGGUGAAGGUGCUCUUGAAGUUCUGGGAUAUGAUGGGAAGAGACGCCGCACCCCACACCCAGGAUGACCUAGACGGUGAAGGUGCUCUUGAAGUUCUGGGAUAUGAUGGGAAGAUUAGCUAACGCGGCGUCCUCUAAAUGACUAAGGCCGGAAUUUUAAGACACUUUCGCUUCUCACAUCAACUAUUUCUAAAGGUCAAAGAGGGGCUUAAUCGGGUUCUAAUGAGUGCUUUUUUAGUUUCAUGCUACUGAGGAAGGGUUAAACUACCACCAGGGUCAUAAAACUACUCCUGGAAUUGACCUAAACUCAUAUGAAAGCCUUGUCAAAUAUGUGAACUUGGGCGACGAAAUGUUUUAAAAUACGACCCUUAACAUAAUCUAGCCUAACACCCUCUGGCCCCCUUAUGCAUACAUUUUCGGUACUUUCUUGAAGGGAUCUGUCACGUUGGCUCUCACUACAUGACUGCCAAGCCUGUUUCACUCGUUGACCAUUUUAGUGAACCAUUUCUUGACUGUCUCUUUUAAUCUGAAUUUAUCUAUCUUAUACCCUUUGCUAUGAGUCCCUUGACUUAAUGAAACCAACCUGGUGUUUCUUGGGCCUUAACAUAAUAUGAUAGUUCAAAGCAGAGUUUGGAAGUUCUUGGUCAGGAGUUAAGGUCUUGUUGGUUAAGAUAAUGUAACCUUUGUUGGGGCGUGGGUGUUUAUUUUGCCCUCCGGUAAGGUUGAUCAUCUGACUUUUUUUUUUUUUUACAGCAAAGGAAACAGCACAAGGGCACACAAAGAGGGAAACAAUAAAAAAAGCCCGCUACUCGCUGCUCCUGUAAAGAAUCCGAAGAGGUGGCGAUGUUGGCCCAUCAUUUCCUUGACUUAUACGACCCCUUUUCUGAUUCAGAUUUCACUUUUUGAUGACAUGUAAAACUAAAAGAUAAAUGCGUUUGGGAAUGUGCAUGAAAAUUAUCUCAUCUUCUACUUGCCGAUAAUUUCUUUUCUCCUUUCUUC
Eriocheir sinensis (Chinese mitten crab) is the source of this 1499-nucleotide long non-coding RNA. RefSeq lists it as uncharacterized. NCBI's taxonomy places the organism in Eukaryota, Metazoa, Arthropoda, Malacostraca, Decapoda, Varunidae. The record is from RefSeq and is a predicted model, not a curated record. The transcript is spliced from 3 exons.